GGCUCCGCAGCGGCAGCUAAACGUUAAUGACGACGGCCGCGCUCGCAAUUUUUUGAGCGCGCACCUGCAGCGCUGGGCAAGCAGCAACUAGGAGCUAACCACUUUUCGGUUUAUCAGCUUUUCUCCGACGCAAAAAAUAAAAUAAUUAAAUUGGCAAUUAUUAAAUUGCAAGCAGCAGCCCUUUCCACCACCGCCCGCAACGCGCUUUCGCGCGCAUGCAAUAUGUGCGGGCCGCUGCUCCUGCGCGCGAGUGAGACCAGUUGAAACAGCCUGCCAUAUGCGCAUACGGACCCAUAAGCUAUAAGCGGCGCGCGUCAGUAGCUAUGUUCUGUGCCAGUCUGCUAGCAUAGA
RNAcentral lists this ribosomal RNA (351 nucleotides) under Kerria nepalensis. Its description in RNAcentral is "bacterial LSU rRNA". The record is from RNAcentral. Lineage: Eukaryota; Metazoa; Arthropoda; Insecta; Hemiptera; Tachardiidae.